RNAcentral lists this ribosomal RNA (301 nucleotides) under uncultured bacterium. RNAcentral's name for it is "partial 16S ribosomal RNA". It matches the Rfam family "Bacterial small subunit ribosomal RNA", at positions 509 to 807 of the family's 1533-position model. The record is from RNAcentral.
CAGUAGCCGCGGUAAUACGGAGGAUCCAAGCGUUAUCCGGAAUCAUUGGGUUUAAAGGGUCCGUAGGCGGUCUUGUAAGUCAGUGGUGAAAGCCCAUCGCUCAACGGUGGAACGGCCAUUGAUACUGCAGGACUUGAAUUAUUGGGAAGUAACUAGAAUAUGUAGUGUAGCGGUGAAAUGCUUAGAGAUUACAUGGAAUACCAAUUGCGAAGGCAGGUUACUACCAAUUGAUUGACGCUGAUGGACGAAAGCGUGGGUAGCGAACAGGAUUAGAGACACCAGUAGUCCCUGUCUCUUAUAC